This is a non-coding RNA of Paraphysoderma sedebokerense, 83 nucleotides long. The record is from the annotation of a GenBank genome assembly. NCBI's taxonomy places the organism in Eukaryota, Fungi, Blastocladiomycota, Physodermatomycetes, Physodermatales, Physodermataceae.
GUGCUUUUGGCCGAGUUGGUCUAAGGCGUGGCGUUAAGGCCGCCAUCUCUUCGGAGGCGUGGGUUCGAAUCCCACAGAGCACA